UCGAGAAUCUUCCGCAAUGGACGAAAGUCUGACGGAGCGACGCCGCGUGAACGAUGAAGUACUUCGGUAUGUAAAGUUCUUUUAUGAGGGAGGAAGUUUAUUGACGUUACCUCAUGAAUAAGGGGUUGCUAAACUCGUGCCAGCAGCAGCGGUAAUACGAGUGCCCCGAGCGUUAUCCGGAAUUAUUGGGCGUAAAGGUUGUGUAGGCGGUUUUGUUAGUCUCUCGUCAAAUCCUUCGGCUUAACCGAAGAUCCGCGAGGGAAACGGCAAGACUAGAGGUUAUGAGAGGUUUGCAGAAUUCAUGGUGUAGCGGUGAAAUGCGUUGAUAUCAUGGAGAAUACCAAAUGCGAAGGCAGCAAACUGGCAUAAAUCUGACGCUGAAACAAGAAAGCGUGGGUAGCGAAAGGG
This 408-nucleotide ribosomal RNA is filed under the name uncultured bacterium. Its description in RNAcentral is "bacterial SSU rRNA". It matches the Rfam family "Bacterial small subunit ribosomal RNA", at positions 355 to 776 of the family's 1533-position model. The record is from RNAcentral.